RNAcentral lists this ribosomal RNA (253 nucleotides) under uncultured bacterium. RNAcentral describes it as "partial 16S ribosomal RNA". It matches the Rfam family "Bacterial small subunit ribosomal RNA", at positions 524 to 776 of the family's 1533-position model. The record is from RNAcentral.
UACGGAGGGUGCGAACGUUAAUCGGAAUUACUGGGCGUAAAGCGUGCGCAGGCGGUUUGCUAAGACCGAUGUGAAAUCCCCGGGCUCAACCUGGGAACUGCAUUGGUGACUGGCAGGCUAGAGUAUGGCAGAGGGGGGUAGAAUUCCACGUGUAGCAGUGAAAUGCGUAGAGAUGUGGAGGAAUACCGAUGGCGAAGGCAGCCCCCUGGGCCAAUACUGACGCUCAUGCACGAAAGCGUGGGGAGCAAACAGG